Molecule: ribosomal RNA, 253 nt
Filed under: uncultured bacterium
Lineage: Bacteria
Description: partial 16S ribosomal RNA
Rfam family: Bacterial small subunit ribosomal RNA
Source: RNAcentral
UACGGGGGUGGCAAGCGUUGUUCGGAAUUAUUGGGCGUAAAGGGCGCGUAGGCGGCCUGGCAAGUGGAAGGUGAAAUCCCUCGGCUUAACCGAGGAACUGCCCUCCAAACUGCUUGGCUUGAGUCCGGGAGAGGUGAGUGGAAUUCCCAGUGUAGCGGUGAAAUGCGUAGAUAUUGGGAGGAACACCAGUGGCGAAGGCGGCUCACUGGACCGGAACUGACGCUGAGGAGCGAAAGCGUGGGGAGCAAACAGG